ACCGGUUACGCUACGGUUUAGUUCACAUCUGACACCUAACGGUUUUGAAACAUUACCAAAACCGUGUUUAUUUUUAAAAUAAAUAUCAAAAUUGAAAAAAUUCAUAGACGAAAAUGUUGUGAUGGCAGAGAUCUAAUCAUGUAAAGGGAGAUGACUGCGUAGGAGAUUACACCUGACUUUUAAUUUUUGCUUUGCAUGAUUGUCGCCCUUAGACUUUUUCACACCAUUUGUAACCAUUUGUAACCAGUGAAGCGGUGGCGUUUGCGUAUUUCUCAAAAUAUAGUUUCUUUUAUGCUCAGAAAGUGUCUAAAGGCUAAGUACAUGUAGAUGUCACUGUGAACAGUUUGCUGAUGACGAUUUUUUAUUUCCUGUUUGUCUGCAGAUGGUACUGAUCAGGAUGACAGUGGUCAUGUGACUACAUCAUGUGACAUGUGGAAUACCUUAUAUGAGAAAGUGGUCUUAGAAUUCAUUGAAAUGCACCUAGAUAAGGGAUCCAUUACAUCAAUUUCAUCACUGGUUCCCCAAGAUAUACUAGUCUAGCCAUACAAGAGACAAUACAGAGGCUGAGAGGCAACCCUGUCAGUUGUGUGGACUUAUUGUCUAUGCUAGGAACCAAAUUUUUCCAGUUGGUCAGUGAUCACUUGACUGAAUUAUUGGAACUUUUCCUGGACUGGCAAUGCUAUGGCUUGAGUGGAGCCCAUAUAAAUGGUUCAAUUAGGGAAUCAACAAUGGGUCAGCUUGUGGCAGGCAUGUCUACAUCAUAUAAUCCAGACUCCCUCAAGUUCAAAAAAUGUGAAACUGGAACAUUGAAAGAGGUGUUCAAGUUAUUCAGACAGAUUCAUGAUGUUAUAAAUAAUGAGAGUAAUACACAUGUAUAUGAGUUUGCAGAGGAGAAUGUGAAGUAUAUAGAGUUAAGAUGGAAUGACAACAAUAUCAUAUGUUGAGACUGUUUUACUAGCAAUAGAUGGCUGUGCAAAGGAAAAUUUAGACAUUAUUGUUAAAUUACUCCUGGCUGUUGACAGAAGACAGAGUCUUCAGGUGUCGACAUGGAUACUGUUCAACUGGAAGUGAAAUAUAGGGAGAAGAGCAAUGGUGUUAUAGUUGGUAUUGAUCUAAGUGGAGAUCCACAUGUUGGUAAUACAGAUAUUUUCAUUCCAGCAUUUAAGGAGGCACAGAAACAUGGUUUAAAGUUAGCACUUCAUCUUGCUUAAGGUUCCAGCACCAGAAGAAACUAUUACUUUGUUAAAAGAAAUUAUAUCAGAUAGAAUAAGACAUGGAACAUGUUUACAGCCUGAUGCUGGUGGGACGAAAGAUAUUGUAGAGUUUGUUGAAAGUCAUAGAAUUCCAUUAGAGUUAUGUUUAUCAUGAGACAUCAUAAAUAUGAUAUGACAGUACCAGGGUAUGAUAACCAUCACUUUAAAUUCUUGUAUGAUUUGGAACAUCCAUGUAUUAUAUGUACAGAUGAUAAAGGUGUGUUUUCUACCUCCAUUACUGAAGAGUACAGCAUAGCAGCAGAUACCUUCCAGUUACAUGGUGCGUAAUCGUUUCGGGCUGAUUUGGAAUAUCUCCCCGUUCCUGAACUGAUUUGGAUUUUUUUCACAGGUUAAUGAAUUUGUAGGAUUUACUUUUAUGACAACCUUGUAAAUUUUUUAGGCCACAGGAUUGAUUCAUAUUAAGGAAAAACAGGGCAAAGGACUGAUUGUAGGCUUACGUCCUACAAUUCAUUACCGGACAAAUCAUAUUAAAACCACUAAAUUAUUUCGGAAUGAUUUUUUCUAUAAUAUGAUCAUGGAAUACCUUAAAAAAUGAAGACAAUAAUGACUUUUUUGGCAAUCUUAUGCUAGUGUUUAAUACUACUUCGCUGACAGGCGAAAUUUGUUUUUAGAUUCCAACUGAUAAAAGACCGUUAACAUACCUUAUAAUUAUAGUUGUAUAUGAAUUCCUUAAACAUUGCAAUGUUCCGUGCAAGUAGAAUAUUUAAAAGACUAACAGUUGUAAAUAUGUUUAUUAUCCCCCGCCGCCUUUUCGGU
Ruditapes philippinarum (Manila clam) is the source of this 2030-nucleotide long non-coding RNA. RefSeq lists it as uncharacterized. The record is from RefSeq and is a predicted model, not a curated record. The transcript has 11 exons. NCBI's taxonomy places the organism in Eukaryota, Metazoa, Mollusca, Bivalvia, Venerida, Veneridae.